This 259-nucleotide unclassified non-coding RNA is filed under the name Icmadophila ericetorum (peppermint drop lichen). RNAcentral's name for it is "partial contains 5.8S ribosomal RNA, internal transcribed spacer 2, and large subunit ribosomal RNA". Lineage: Eukaryota; Fungi; Ascomycota; Lecanoromycetes; Pertusariales; Icmadophilaceae. The record is from RNAcentral.
CGCACAUUGCACCUUUUGGUAUUCCGAAAGGUAUGCCUGUUCGAGCGUCAUUUCACCUUCUCAGCAUUAAUUUGUUGGUAUUGGAUUUUUGAAAAAUUCAUAUUUUUCGAUCCCAAAGAUAAAGAUUCAAUUUUGAUUUUUGAAUAUACAACGAGCUUUUACAAAGCAGGUAUAUAAAUAAAAAACAAGAAUGCAUUGAAACCCUCAUAUAUUUUGUCAGGUUGACCUCGAAUCAGGUAGGAUUACCCGCUGAACUUAA